This 493-nucleotide ribosomal RNA is filed under the name Staphylococcus aureus. RNAcentral describes it as "bacterial SSU rRNA". It matches the Rfam family "Bacterial small subunit ribosomal RNA", at positions 1 to 475 of the family's 1533-position model. The record is from RNAcentral. Lineage: Bacteria; Bacillati; Bacillota; Bacilli; Caryophanales; Staphylococcaceae.
UUUUAUGGAGAGUUUGAUCCUGGCUCAGGAUGAACGCUGGCGGCGUGCCUAAUACAUGCAAGUCGAGCGAACGGACGAGAAGCUUGCUUCUCUGAUGUUAGCGGCGGACGGGUGAGUAACACGUGGAUAACCUACCUAUAAGACUGGGAUAACUUCUGGAAACCGGAGCUAAUACCGGAUAAUAUUUUGAACCGCAUGGUUCAAAAGUGAAAGACGGUCUUGCUGUCACUUAUAGAUGGAUCCGCGCUGCAUUAGCUAGUUGGUAAGGUAACGGCUUACCAAGGCAACGAUGCAUAGCCGACCUGAGAGGGUGAUCGGCCACACUGGAACUGAGACACGGUCCAGACUCCUACGGGAGGCAGCAGUAGGGAAUCGUCCGCAAUGGGCGAAAGCCUGACGGAGCAACGCCGCGUGAGUGAUGAAGGUCUUCGGAUCGUAAAACUCUGUUAUUAGGGAAGAACAUAUGUGUAAGUAACUGUGCACAUCUUGACGG